This 512-nucleotide long non-coding RNA is filed under the name Anas platyrhynchos platyrhynchos (common mallard). Its description in RNAcentral is "lncRNA (ENSAPLG00000018909.1)". Lineage: Eukaryota; Metazoa; Chordata; Aves; Anseriformes; Anatidae. The record is from RNAcentral.
UUCCUAAGUCUUUCUAUUUUUUUCUGAUAAACUGUUUGUUUAACAGAUUUAAGAGCCUCAAACAAUCAUGCCAACAGAGGAAAAAUAGAAUGACAUUUACCAUAUUUACAAUGUCUCCAUCAAGGGAAUCCAUCUGUGUGUUCACUUACAGGAACACAGCCUUGCAUAGAGGAGGAGACUUGAGAUUUAUUGUUGUUUCCUGGCUAAUUACUAUUUAAACGCUGAAACUCAUACUCCAGGUGUGGAGGGAUGCAACAACUACUCCACAUUUAUAGUGACUUUAGCUCUACAAUUUUAUCCAGAGAGCUUUCCUGAUGCUGGUACCUCAUUAUCCAGUAAGAUUAGAUCCUAAAGGGGAAAGGUGAGCUAGACAAAGGGCACUAUGAAUUUCCUGUUUGUUUUCUCAGUUUUGUUUGUUUUCUCCCCAAGUCUACAUACUAACUGUAAAGUCAGAUAAGGUUGAAAAACUCAGACAUAGAAAAAAUAUAGAAAUAAACAAAUAAAGAUAUACA